RNAcentral lists this long non-coding RNA (1236 nucleotides) under Equus caballus (horse). Its description in RNAcentral is "lncRNA (ENSECAG00000048737.1)". The record is from RNAcentral. Lineage: Eukaryota; Metazoa; Chordata; Mammalia; Perissodactyla; Equidae.
GGAACAGACGCUGUUGGAUUGUCGUGAGGGUGAAGGAGGCUCGUGUGGAUGACCACGCAGACCCAUGGCUCACGUGGGGCAGUGAUGGGAGUUUGGUGCCCCUUCUUCCUUGCCACAGUGAGAAGCAGAGCCUCGGGACUCAAUGCCAUCUUGGUGUAUGCCCCAGCAUGCAGACCCUGCCAUCACAUGGCUGACAGCCCACACGAGUGCUAUCAGAAAGCUGAGAUGGUGAACCUGUACUUGGAGGCCAUGCCUGCAGAGUCACAGCGGUGCAGAUCAGCUGAGAGAAUGGCCACUCUGGCCCUGGGAGGUCAGUGGGACAAGCUGUUUCCUGAUGGUCACAAGAUGGCUUCAGUGGCUCCAGAUGACACAUCCUCCCACAGCAACAUCCCAGCAGUGUCCAGGCCACCUUCCUAUGGCAUCUCCUUGGCCAGAACCCUAGCUGCAAGGGAGGCUGGGACAGGGAGUCUGGCUUUUCAGCCUAUGUGAGUGGGAGGCAGGUAAAGAUGAGUUGGGAAUGGCUGGUGUCUGGAUAACCCAUGGUGCCUUCCACGUUGCUCCACUAUGUGCUUCUGCUUUGGACCCUGCAUUCAAUUCUCCACCAGCUUCUCUCCAGAGCACUCUUGGUGAGGACAGCAACUGGUACCAGGGGAUACUACAGUAGAGCUGUUGGGAGUGCAGUGGCUGGAGCCUGACACCUGAGUUCAGAUCCUGGCUCCACUCCUCUGCUCUGGCUGAAUUAACAUCUCUGUACUUUGUUAUUAAAAAGGGGAUAAUAGUUCUUACCUGCCUCAGAAGGUUGUUUGAGAAUUCAAUGAGUUCAUAUAUGUGGAGCACUUAGAACACUGGUUGUCAAACUUGGCUGUGCCCUGGAAUCACAAGAGUAGUUUUAAAAAUUAAUGGUGCCGGCCCCACCUGCAAAGAAUCAGAUCUAACUAGUCAGAGGAGUGGCUUGGGCUUUGGAAUUUUUAAAGGCUCCCUAGUCAAUUCUAAUAUGCAGCUAAGAACACUCCUGGCACAGAGUAAGAUUCUAGUAACCUUAGCUCUGAUUGGUUUGUUCAUCAUUGUGAGGCCCAGCAUAUAGUAGGCCCUCAGGAGUUGUUUGUUGAAUGAAUGAAUGAAAGUUUUGAAGCAAGACGAGGUAGUUGACGUCUUUUGGUCCAGCCCUCUGGCCUUGGGAUUGCUGCUCUGCCCCUUCAGUCUGGCUUCCUUUGUAACCUCUCUGGAGGGCUCCAG